CCCUUAGACGUUCUGGGCCGCACGCGCGCUACACUGACACAGGCAACGAGCUUUCCUUUACCGAAAGGUAUGGGUAAUCUUUUGAAACUGUGUCGUGCUGGGGAUAGAUCCUUGCAAUUUUUGAUCUUAAACGAGGAAUUCCUAGUAAGCGCGGGUCAUCAACUCGCGUUGAUUACGUCCCUGCCCUUUGUACACACCGCCCGUCGCUACUACCGAUUGAAUGGCUUAGUGAGGCCUCAGGAUCCGCGCUUAAUGUGUGGAGAAUUUGGACAAACUACGUCAUUUAGAGGAAGUAAAAGUCGUAACA
RNAcentral lists this ribosomal RNA (307 nucleotides) under uncultured eukaryote. RNAcentral's name for it is "partial 18S ribosomal RNA". It matches the Rfam family "Eukaryotic small subunit ribosomal RNA", at positions 1470 to 1796 of the family's 1831-position model. The record is from RNAcentral.